This is a long non-coding RNA of Girardinichthys multiradiatus, 1145 nucleotides long. RefSeq lists it as uncharacterized. Lineage: Eukaryota; Metazoa; Chordata; Actinopteri; Cyprinodontiformes; Goodeidae. The record is from RefSeq and is a predicted model, not a curated record. The transcript has 3 exons.
AUCAUUCUGCAUGCAACAACAAAACACACCAAUGCUGCAACAAAUGCGAGAAGGCCUUGGAGUUUACAACUUUAUUAAUGUAAUGGAGAGAAAGCCAGAUGAGUGUCGCAGUCUAUUUGUUGUUGGAGAAGAUGACAAGGUUGACUCAAAUUACAUAUUGUCACACAUCGCCCCAGAAUUGAGUCCACAGGGUUCAAUAAAACAAGCAAAGGAGACCAAAAUCUUGGAGUACUUCCAAGAUUUCUUGUACGAACUUGAAGAUACACGACCAGCAGAGAAUGAGGAGACACAGACUCUAAAUGUUCCAGUGGUGAUGCAGUGGAUGACUGGGCAAGCACACAGACAUUUGCUUUUAUCAGAAAGAAAUUCUUUUAAAGUCACAGUGAUUUUUGACCACAAUUGCCUAGAACACACACCAGGCCACACUGUGUGCUACCCAGUUGUAAGUGCUUGUACCAGCACUGUGACAUUUCCAACAGCCCAUCUAGCGGAUUAUGAAUCCUUCAGGAGCAACCUUAGCACUGCAGUAAAAUAUGGAGUCACUUUUGACAGGCUGUAGGUCAGCAUGUGUUUAUAGACGACCAGAGUUUGACAAGUUGUUCUGACUUUAUUUUAUAAAAGGCAUUUUACACUGUUUUAACACUGAUAGUUCAUAGGUAAAAGAAAUGUCUCUUUGGAGAGAAUUUAUUUUCUAUCUGUUGUGGUUUAUGUAUUUUCCUCAAAAACUACAACUACUGUUCAUAGUUGUAGUUCAUUGUAUAAUGCGUUAUGUUUUCCUAAUGUUAUUGCAUCACACAGUUUUGAUAAAAAACAUGGGUUUGUGCUUGUAUUGCACACAUGCUGUAAUGCGUGUUACAUUUUAUGAUGUAGGAAGAAAAUAAUCUCACACACACACCAGCCACAGGCCACUUCAAGAGCUUGUAAAUAAAUGUCUCGGCCAAGUGAUGCAGACUCUGCCAAAGGGUUUAAUUGUUGAAGUGCAUGCACUUUUUCAGCUGACAGCGGACUGAAGAACAGGCACAUUGACCCCAUGUUCAACUUCUUCACUUUGCUGUUCUUGGGACAGCAGCUCCUCAGCAUGCUGAAUCUGCUUUGACAAAAGCCAUAGACAGAUUACUCAUAAAAAAUACCAGGGAAAAUAAAUA